Urocitellus parryii (Arctic ground squirrel) is the source of this 903-nucleotide non-coding RNA. NCBI's taxonomy places the organism in Eukaryota, Metazoa, Chordata, Mammalia, Rodentia, Sciuridae. The record is from RefSeq and is a predicted model, not a curated record.
AUGUUCACUGAGGAGAAGCGGCUGAGGAGCCGGCCUGCAACCUGCCUGGCGGCUCUAGUAGGCGCAGGCGUCGGGAGUGGCCGCCUCACAGGCAGCUCUGGAGGGAUCCGGUUGAGGAGGAAGCAGAGGCGUCCCGACCUGGGCCUUCGCCUUGAUCCUCCAUGGACGCUCGACUGGGCCUACAGUACUCCCUUACGUGUGGCUAAAGGAGGAGUUGACCACACCAAAAUGAGUCUGCAUGGUGCUAGUGGUGGACAUGAGAGAUCAAGAGAUAGACGAAGGUCAAGUGACAGAUCACGAGAUUCAUCUCAUGAAAGAGCAGAGUCUCAGCUCACUCCUUGUAUUAGAAAUGUUACUUCUCCAACACGGCAGCAUCAUGUUGAACGAGAAAAAGAUCACAGUUCCUCUCGUCCAAGCAGUCCUUGUCCUCAAAAAGCAUCCCCAAAUGGUUCCAUUAGCAGUGCUGGGAAUAGCAGCAGAAACAGUAGUCAGUCAAGUUCAGAUGGUAGCUGUAAGACAUCUGGGGAUAUGGUGUUUGUAUAUGAAAAUGCAAAAGAAGGAGCUCGGAAUGUAAGGACAUCAGAACGAGUGACACUAAUAGUGGAUAACACUAGAUUUGUUGUAGACCCAUCCAUUUUUACUGCACAGCCAAAUACAAUGUUGGGCAGGAUGUUUGGAUCUGGCCGAGAACAUAACUUUACACGUCCCAAUGAGAAGGGAGAAUAUGAAGUGGCAGAAGGAAUUGGUUCCACUGUAUUUCGAUUUCUUACCCCCUGGAUGGGAACCUCUGCUGCUGACAUCCAAGUUCCACCAAGAGUUUUGAUUGCAGAAGAAGAAACUCCAGUAGCAAGUGGCAAUGUGCUACACCACUGGUGUCAUAACAAAGUCAAAAUAGGUUUCUAA